CUUUGUCUCAGGAAGCUAAAGAUUUACAGAAUUUUUGCUCCAUCCCAAGAAUUCAUUGUGGAGGAAGAGCUGAUUUCAGCAAUUCCAUCCACUUUCCUUCUACACCACCUGCCUCUUCCUUUCUUGUCCUAAAAGUUACUAUCCUGUUGAAGAGAUGGAUAUUUGUGUUCGUCACAGAGCUGGAAGACUGAAGUUUCCUAGGUUUUGGUUGCUCUAAAGAGAGCCUUAACAUUCUUCAGCCAAUUUCCAUCAGAUGACCCAUAAGAAAUGGGAUUUUUCCAUUCAUAUAAUCUGUUCAACAAGACUGCGAUAUGAAGAUCCAUGCUACCAAAAUCCUCAGCUUCACCAGCCAUACUGUUCACCUCAUGGCAGAUGGGGAAAGAAGUCAAAGUGAAGUUGGAAUAUCAUUUGGGAGAAUACAACACAAGACUGGCUGAAUUACGAAGAAGAGAAACAACUUCUUGAUUUUUCAAGGGAACAGAAAACCAGAUUCCUGAAAAUGUGAGAUUUUCCUGAGGUCAUGCCUCUUUGUUACUAGGUGACUUGAUAUACUGGGCACUCUGGGGUCUGUUGAGAAGUUUCUCUUGAUGUGUGUGUUUGCAGUGGGGAGCAAAGCAAUUACGGCAGUAGGCUAGGAAUAUGUAAGCUAUGGGGGCAGUGGAGAGAAGUCCAAAGAAGGAGCUGGAUCAGAAAACCACCUGUUGAAUGUGUAUGA
Molecule: long non-coding RNA, 715 nt
Organism: Zonotrichia leucophrys gambelii
Lineage: Eukaryota; Metazoa; Chordata; Aves; Passeriformes; Passerellidae
Exons: 4
Source: RefSeq, a predicted model, not a curated record